GACGAGGGGUCCUAGCGUUGUUCGGAAUCACUGGGCGUAAAGCGUUUGUAGGCGGCUUUGCAAGUCGGGUGUGAAAUCCCACGGCUCAACCGUGGAAGUGCAUUCGAAACUGCAGAGCUUGAAUAUGGAAGAGGGCAGUAGAAUUCCUGGUGUAGUGGUGAAAUACGUAGAUAUCAGGAGGAAUACCGGUGGCGAAGGCGGCUGCCUGGUCCAAUAUUGACGCUGAGAAACGAAAGUGCGGGGAUCAAACAGG
This 253-nucleotide ribosomal RNA is filed under the name uncultured bacterium. RNAcentral describes it as "partial 16S ribosomal RNA". It matches the Rfam family "Bacterial small subunit ribosomal RNA", at positions 524 to 776 of the family's 1533-position model. The record is from RNAcentral.